RNAcentral lists this long non-coding RNA (1224 nucleotides) under Apteryx haastii (Great spotted kiwi). RNAcentral describes it as "lncRNA (ENSAHAG00000014941.1)". Lineage: Eukaryota; Metazoa; Chordata; Aves; Apterygiformes; Apterygidae. The record is from RNAcentral.
AUGGUGUUAUCCUGGAUCAGCGCCGCUUCCCAGUCUCUCUUUUCACCCCGCAGGAGCUUGCGGACRAACCCUCCCUGGGGCCAUUUGCACACGAGCCAAGAGACCAUGCAGGCAGAAGUGUGCAGAGCGCCCCAAAACAUCUGGUCUGGGGUGGGGGGAGCUCUCCCUUCCCUGGGCAGGCRUGCCCCAUUCCUCAAGGAUAGGCAUGGACGUAGGAAAGGAAGGUCAAGAGCUAACUUCAGAGACGCCGCAAGAGYUCAGGGAGGAAAACACCACUGUGGACCACGCUAUUUCAGAGCAGGCUUUAAGAGAAGGCCUGUGUUAACCCUGCCUGCAGAGCGGAGCUACGAAAACCCAACGGGGAAGGGGGCUUGGGGCGGUGCCGGGCGGGAGCAGCCGGGCUCCAGGGCCGGGGCAUGGCCGCAGGACAGGCGCGGUGUCGGAGCACGCUCUCCUCCCCGCCGACCUCUCCGGGCCCGUUUUGUCUCUGGGUCUCCGACCCCCCGGGGAACGGGUCAGCUCCCCACCGCUUUACUAAAAGGCACCAGCACCACCAGGAGCUGCUCAGGAUGCCACCGAGCCAGCCCAGGCCGCACGCACAGAGGAGCCAGGCGAAACUGYGCCCUGCUCAGGCUGCGACCUCCCUCCCUCGCUCCGGCGGGCGGCAGCAGCAGCGGUGCAUCUUUGCUCCACGUGUCAGCCCUCUCGGGCCGCUGCGCCCGUCUUCGCCGACCCCCUGAAACGGGCCGCGGAGCGUCGCCCGCCCCGGGCUGCGCUCCCGACCCCUGCAUCCACCACGCUGCAGGCGCCCCCUCGCUCCCCUGCGACGGGAAGCCUCCGAUCUACCCCAAAAGGCCUUUCACUGUAUCAGAAAAGGCUGCGCGCGCUUGGAAAGCCUCCAGAGCAUUAUUAAAAGGCAAAUUACAGACAAUUAUCCUCAGAAGCGCAUCAGCCAAGCCGAGCCAGUCACAACAAGCUGGUCCCCCCCCAGCCCAGGCUCCUUCCAGCUCCCGCGGGAACGUUCAGCCCCGGCUGCUCCACCAACCUCCUCCCGUUGUGUCCUCCACCAGCGGGCUCCCCAUCUCCUUGGCUUCGGGGGGGCAUGCGCCCCUCGAGCGCCCCCCAGCCACCAGGGUCCACUUGCGACCCGAGGCCACCACGCAGCCUCCGAGCCUGGCACGGCRCCCAGCACAGUUGUCACCAGGAAGGUUAUGGCUCUGCUGA